RNAcentral lists this ribosomal RNA (562 nucleotides) under Poecilimon thoracicus. RNAcentral describes it as "SSU rRNA". It matches the Rfam family "Eukaryotic small subunit ribosomal RNA", at positions 642 to 1163 of the family's 1831-position model. Lineage: Eukaryota; Metazoa; Arthropoda; Insecta; Orthoptera; Tettigoniidae. The record is from RNAcentral.
AUGAUUCGUGGGACGUCCUGCCGGUGGUGGCGAGUCGAAGGCGUGCUCCCGUCGUGGUUUCCACUUCUUUUCUUGUUCGCUCGAGUUGUACCCUGAUGAAAUCCUACCGCGGUGCUCUUAACCGAGUGUCGAGGUGGGCCGGCACGUUUACUUUGAACAAAUUAGAGUGCUUAAAGCAGGCCUGUUGCGCCUGAAUACUGUGUGCAUGGAAUAAUGGAAUAGGACCUCGGUUCUAUUUUGUUGGUUUUCGGAACCCGAGGUAAUGAUUAAUAGGGGACAGGCGGGGGCAUUCGUAUUGCGACGUUAGAGGUGAAAUUCUUGGAUCGUCGCAAGACGGACCGAAGCGAAAGCAUUUGCCAAGUAUGUUUUCAUUAAUCAAGAACGAAAGUUAGAGGUUCGAAGGCGAUCAGAUACCGCCCUAGUUCUAACCAUAAACGAUGCCAGCUAGCGAUCCGCCGAAGUUCCUCCGAUGACUCGGCGGGCAGCUCCCGGGAAACCAAAGCUUUUGGGUUCCGGGGGAAGUAUGGUUGCAAAGCUGAAACUUAAAGGAAUUGACGGAAGG